CCCUAAUGACUACAUUUUGAUUUCUUAUGAUACAAUCUUUGUCAUCAGCCAGUCUUUUCAGAUUUUCUAACUGAUUAUUUCCUCUCUCUUGUCACGACCCGACCUAUAGGCCCGUGACCGGUACUAGCAAAUUGGUAGGCGUAAGGCCAUCUAAUCCCGUAGUAAGCCUGACCAUUCACUAAAUUAAAUCUCAUCUAAUAACACUAAUGUCACAAUUUAUCUUAACCAUUAAAUUCUACAUAUUUAAUUUGGUCUGCCAGUAUAAUUAGGCAAGACCCGAAACUACAUAAAAUUACAACUAAUAAGUCUAAAAUUUCUACUGCGGAGAAUCUAAAAUUUUUUCAAGUCAAACGUACCAAAAUCAAAUACAUGAACCUGAUGAUGAAAGGAGUCGGGCUGCUAGAUAACAACUGCGGAAAGACUAACAAUCACCUUAAAAGAAUAAAAUUGAGACUGUCAGUCUUGAGAGUGAGUUAAAAUCAUAUAUCCCAAAAAUGAAUAUAAACACUUCAAUUAAAUAAUUGCUCAAUUUAAAAUAAAAAUCCAUGUCAUGCUAUGCUUCUGUAAUAUAAAAUAAAAUAAAUUUUUAUUUCAUGCCACGGGACGGAGUACCUCAGCAGAAUUCUAAUCCCAACACUAACAUCUCGACUCUCUCAUUCUAACAGAACUGGCACCUAAAGAGCGAAGCUCGACCAGGGACCUUUACUCCGGCAAACACACUCUACUCAGCCGAGAGAGCAAUGCUCGACUGGGGCAAGUCCUAAUUUACCUUUUUAAAUUUAUCUUUAGCGCCCUUUUAUUAUCAGUCUCGGAUUCAUACAGAUGCAACUCAGCAAACAGUAUGUUCUACUGCCAUUCCAUCCAGAGUCAUCAUGCAAUAAUAAAUUCAGUGAUAAAGAACAUGAUAUAUAUGAAUAGUAAUUAAAUGAAUAAUUUAAACUUGCAAUCAAUUAAUCACAAUCGCAAUUUUAAAUUUGCGCACAACACGUACAUAACAGAUAUAUGACUUUAACUUACAGAUCUGACGACCUCUUAGCUCUGCUCCGAUGUCUCAAGUGGAGCGAGCCGAACUAACGGAUUAUCUAAUCACGGAAAAUAAUUAAUCAAUAACGUUGAAACAUUUGACAAUUAAUCCUAGGUCUAGACUCCUAGGACACUAAGAAUCUCGACUCUGAAGGAAACCGAAAAUCCUGCAGAACCUUCCUGAUUUACAGACGUUUACCCCCAUUAUAACGGGUCUAGGACCUGCCAAAAAACACUUGAAAAUGUACAGUGAUUAAUUAAUAGGAGUCGGGUUACCAAAACUGCAUUAAUUUUCUCGACUCCACAACACAACACACACGACUAUUGGUAGACAAUCCGACAUUUUAUUUUAAUUAACAAUAUUUCUAAGGCUCAUCUCAUUUCAAUAAUCACAUAAGUUUUGCCAAAAAAUUCUAAAAUCAACAGGCCAGAGAAUUACCGAGACGCUUGAUCGCUCGGUCAACUUGCCUCUAGCCACCGGGAGUCCGAUCGACGAUCCGAACGCACAACGGACUCGAAAUGACGCGCUGAUGAUCAUCUCCCUUCCGAUCUUCUGAUCCGACCCUUAAUCAUCCGGAGAGAUUUAUGGACGAUCUCGGUCGUCAAUUUUCAAACGGAGUCCAAUCGCCACGAAACCGGUGCCAUUGGAAAGCUUGAGCUGAAGGGAGUUUGGAUGUACCUUCUGAUUGGCCAAAGCUCAUCGGAGCUCGCUGGAAAAGCCAGAAAACACCGGCUGCCACUCAUUUUCUCUUUCCAUCGCGAACUUCCAAAUCCGGCCACCAUUUGUGUCACCACUGCCGCCAAAACGAAGCCCAGACCGAGGGGAGUCGAUCGCCACCAAAAAUAGUGGCUACCGAAACCGGAAACGCCAUGAACGGCGUCCAAAAAGGCUGCUGCUUUCCUCCCUUUUUGCCGCCUGCCGAAGUCCCCAACGCUGCCACCGUCGCCACCCUUGAGCUCGUCGGCGCUAGCUACACCUCCAGCCAGCUUCGCCGAGCCCUAGACGAACGCCUCCCUUGUCGACCAUGGAAGCCGACGUCCCCCCCUCUCUCUCUU
RNAcentral lists this long non-coding RNA (2079 nucleotides) under Ricinus communis (castor bean). RNAcentral describes it as "long non-coding RNA (RCOM_LNC002780)". The record is from RNAcentral. Lineage: Eukaryota; Viridiplantae; Streptophyta; Magnoliopsida; Malpighiales; Euphorbiaceae.